GACGAACGCUGGCGGCGUGCUUAACACAUGCCAGUCGAACGGAAAGGCCCCCACCUUGGUGGGGGUGCUCGAGUGGCGAACGGGUGAGUAACGCGUGGGUGAUCUGCCCUGUACUUCGGGAUAAGCUUGGGAAACUGGGUCUAAUACCGGAUAGGACCAUGGUUUAGUGUCUCAUGGUGGAAAAAUUAUUGUUUUGGUGCAGGAUGAGCUCGCGGCCUAUCAGCUUGUUGGUGGGGUAAUGGCCUACCAAGGCGUCGACGGGUAGCCGGCCUGAGAGGGUGGACGGCCACAUUGGGACUGAGAUACGGCCCAGACUCCUACGGGAGGCAGCAGUGGGGAAUAUUGCACAAUGGGCGCAAGCCUGAUGCAGCGACGCCGCGUGGGGGAUGACGGCCUUCGGGUUGUAAACUCCUUUCGUUAGGGACGAAGCCACACCUUUUUUGGGUGUGGUGACGGUACCUUUGUUAAGAAGCACCGGCUAACUACGUG
RNAcentral lists this ribosomal RNA (489 nucleotides) under uncultured bacterium. RNAcentral describes it as "partial 16S ribosomal RNA". It matches the Rfam family "Bacterial small subunit ribosomal RNA", at positions 28 to 507 of the family's 1533-position model. The record is from RNAcentral.